CAUUACUCCUUUAUGACUGUAGUUUUGCUACUGUUAUGAAUUACAUUGUAAUUGUCUGUGUUUUCUGAUUUUAGGUGACCCUUGUGAAAGGGUCAUUUGACCCCAAAGGGGUCUCAACGCCAGGUUGAGAACCAUUGGUCUAAACUGUUACUCCAGCUUCACGCUAUCCCAGGGUGACCUUCCGUGCUUUCCUGCUCUAGUCACUCAGUUCAAGUGCACACACGCUUCCCUGCAGCACAUCCUUUGCCUUCCCCUGUAACAUUUAGUCACGGAUCCAGAGGCUGACCUUUUCUGUCUCAUGUUUCUGUUUUCAAAGGAUUCUCUUAUUAGCAACCUGUUGCGUCUCAUACAAACCAUGCGGCCUCCAGCUAAGCCUUCUACUAGCAAAGAUCCAGUUGUUAAACCCAAAACUGAAAAGGAAAAGCUGAAGGAACUCUUCCCUGUCCUUUGCCAGCCAGACAACCCUUCAGUGCGGGUACAGAUUCUCUUGGGGAAUGUCUUCCCUGGCAUGUGCUCUGUCUCUUUGCAUCUCCUUAGCAACAGUGUGAAUUUUAACCUUGUCUGUUGUAUGAUGUUUUUCGGAGUAAGACUAUAAAUCAAAGGUCCAGAGAAUGAUAGUCAAGGGCCAUGAGCUUGGGGACUUGGGGAAGCAGUGGUGAGGGAUAUGAAAUGACUUUAGAUUCUCACAAAGGUGCCCAGUGUACAAAAGUAGAAUAUUUUUUCUGUAUUAAAUGUUAAAGGAUGUAAUUUUUGAAAUGUUUUAUUUAUAACAUUUUUAUUUUAGGAUAGGUAUGCUGGUGAAUCCCUUUCAUUUUAGCAUUUGGGAGGCAGAGGCAGGAGGAUCUCUGAGUCCAAGGCCAGCCUGGUCUACAUAUCAAGUUCUAGGACAGCCAGGGCCAUAUAGAGAGACUGUUUAAAAAGAAAAAUCCCAGUGUUUGAGAAACAGGUUUAAUCAUAAACAGGA
This 964-nucleotide long non-coding RNA is filed under the name Cricetulus griseus (Chinese hamster). Its description in RNAcentral is "lncRNA (ENSCGRG00000026126.1)". The record is from RNAcentral. Lineage: Eukaryota; Metazoa; Chordata; Mammalia; Rodentia; Cricetidae.